This 1074-nucleotide ribosomal RNA is filed under the name Draculoides sp. SCH037. RNAcentral describes it as "partial large subunit ribosomal RNA". Lineage: Eukaryota; Metazoa; Arthropoda; Arachnida; Schizomida; Hubbardiidae. The record is from RNAcentral. RNAcentral also lists the same sequence under 1 other name.
UCCCUUAGUAGCGGCGAGCGAACAGGGAAGAGCCCAGCGCCGAAUUCCGCGUCUCAAAGGGCGUUUGGAACAUGUGGCGUUUAGGAGGAAUCUCUCCGAGGGCAGACGGUGUCGCAAGUCCCCCUGAACGGGGCUGUGAUCCAGAGCGGGUGCGAGGCCCAUAGCUGGUACCGUCUCCUUUGGGUGUCCCCUCCUUGGAGUCGGGUUGCUUGGGAGUGCAGCCCUAAUUGGGUGGUAAACUCCACCUAAGGCUAAAUACGUCCGUGAGACCGAUAGCAAACAAGUACCGUGAGGGAAAGUUGCAAAGAACUUUGAAGAGAGAGUUCAAGAGUACGUGAAACCGCUCAGAGGCAAACGGGUGGGCCCACGAAAGCCGAAGGCGGGGGGAUUCAGUCGAGAGGACGGUGGGGCAGGACUGGCUGGUUGGACGGACCGUGCCAGGCCGGGUCAGUUCCCGAGAUCUGCCGCCUUUCGACGCAUUUCCCCCUGCUUAGUAGGACGCCGCAACCGGUUGGCGCUGCAGCCAUAAGGGAGAGUAAAUGGAAGGUAGCCAGUGAGUUCUUCUUCGGAGGCGCGAGCUGGUCCUAAGCCGACUCUCCUGGUGCUUGUGGCCCGACCGUGGUCGUGAGUCCCUCAACGGGAUGUYGCCGAGCCCUCUGACUGGAGCGGGAGAAAUGGCAGGCUGCUUUCCGCGGAAAAAAUCGAUCGCUUCACGCGUGCAGUGGGCGAUCUCCGGAKGUAGCUGCUGGUGCAUUUUUCUCCUGCGCUGGGCACAGGCAGUUGGCGGCGAGUAGGUCGGUCACCCACCCGACCCGUCUUGAAACACGGACCAAGGAGUCUAACAUGUGCGCGAGUCAUUGGGUCUUGAACAAGCCCAAAGGCGCAAUGAAAGUGAAGACCAGCACUGAAGCUGGUGGAGUUGGGAAACUGCGUCACUGAAGAUGCAGUUGCACCAACGGCCCGUCCCGUCCGCAUCGUCGGUGGGGCGGAGCGAGAGCGUACACGUUGGGACCCGAAAGAUGGUGAACUAUGCCUGGGCAGGACGAAGCCAGAGGAAACUCUGGUGGAGGUCCG